This 432-nucleotide ribosomal RNA is filed under the name uncultured bacterium. RNAcentral's name for it is "partial 16S ribosomal RNA". It matches the Rfam family "Bacterial small subunit ribosomal RNA", at positions 29 to 507 of the family's 1533-position model. The record is from RNAcentral.
ACGAACGCUGGCGGCAGGCCUAACACAUGCAAGUCGAGCGGACCCUUCGGGGUUAGCGGCGGACGGGUGAGUAACGCGUGGGAAUAUGCCCUUCUCUACGGAAUAGUCCUGGGUAACUGGGGGUAAUACCGUAUACGCCCUUUGGGGGAAAGAUUUAUCGGGGAAGGAUUAGCCCGCGUUGGAUUAGGUAGUUGGUGGGGUAAUGGCCUACCAAGCCGACGAUCCAUAGCUGGUUUGAGAGGAUGAUCAGCCACACUGGGACUGAGACACGGCCCAGACUCCUACGGGAGGCAGCAGUGGGGAAUCUUAGACAAUGGGGGCAACCCUGAUCUAGCCAUGCCGCGUGAGUGAUGAAGGCCUUAGGGUUGUAAAGCUCUUUCAGCUGGGAAGAUAAUGACGGUACCAGCAGAAGAAGCCCCGGCUAACUCCGUG